GAUGAACGCUGGCGGCGUGCCUAAUACAUGCAAGUCGAGCGAACAGACGAGGAGCUUGCUCCUCUGACGUUAGCGGCGGACGGGUGAGUAACACGUGUAUAACCUACCUAUAAGACUGGGAUAACUUCGGGAAACCGGCGCUAAUACCGGAUAAUAUAUUGAACCGCAUGGUUCAUUAGUGAAAGACGGCUUUUCUGUCACGUCUAGAGGCAUCCGCGCCGCAUGAGCUAGUUGGUAAGGUAACGGCUUACCACGGCGACCAUGCGUAGCCGACCUGAGAGGGUGAUCGGCCACACUGGAGGUGAGACACGGUCCAGACUCCUACGGGAGGCAGCAGUAGGGAAUGUUCCGCAGUGGGCGAAAGCCUGACGGAGCAACGCCGCGUGAGUGAUGAAGAUCUUCGGAGCGUAAAAAUCUGUUAUUGGGGGAAAACAAAUGUGUAAGUAACUAUGCACGUCUUGACGGUACCUGAUCAGAAAGCAACGGCUAACUACGUG
RNAcentral lists this ribosomal RNA (497 nucleotides) under uncultured bacterium. RNAcentral's name for it is "partial 16S ribosomal RNA". It matches the Rfam family "Bacterial small subunit ribosomal RNA", at positions 28 to 507 of the family's 1533-position model. The record is from RNAcentral.